UACGUAGGGGGCUAGCGUUGUCCGGAAUCAUUGGGCGUAAAGAGCGUGUAGGCGGCCAGGUAGGUCUGCUGUGAAAACUCGAGGCUUAACCUCGAGAUGUCGGCGGAAACCAUCUGGCUAGAGUCCGGAAGAGGAGAAUGGAAUUCCCGGUGUAGCGGUGAAAUGCGCAGAUAUCGGGAAGAACACCCGUGGCGAAGGCGGUUCUCUGGGACGGUACUGACGCUGAGACGCGAAAGCGUGGGGAGCGAACAGG
RNAcentral lists this ribosomal RNA (253 nucleotides) under uncultured bacterium. RNAcentral describes it as "partial 16S ribosomal RNA". It matches the Rfam family "Bacterial small subunit ribosomal RNA", at positions 524 to 776 of the family's 1533-position model. The record is from RNAcentral.